RNAcentral lists this ribosomal RNA (774 nucleotides) under uncultured Neocallimastigales. Its description in RNAcentral is "partial large subunit ribosomal RNA". It matches the Rfam family "Eukaryotic large subunit ribosomal RNA", at positions 23 to 616 of the family's 3401-position model. The record is from RNAcentral. Lineage: Eukaryota; Fungi; Neocallimastigomycota; Neocallimastigomycetes; Neocallimastigales.
AGAGAGAGACAUGCGCGCAUAUCAAUAAGCGGAGGAAAAGAAACUAACAAGGAUUCCCCUAGUAACGGCGAGUGAAGCGGGAAGAGCUCAAAUUUGAAAUCUUAAAGGGUUUCCCUUUACGAAUUGUAGUUUAAAGAAGUGUUUUCUGCUGAGGUUUUGGUAAAAGUUCUUUGGAAUAGGACAUCAUAGAGGGUGAGAAUCCCGUAUUUGACCUUUACUUUCAACUUUGUGAUACACUUUCAAAGAGUCGGAUUGUUUGGGAAUGCAGUCCAAAAUGGGUGGUAAAUUUCAUCUAAAGCUAAAUAUUGGCGAGAGACCGAUAGCGAACAAGUACCGUGAGGGAAAGAUGAAAAGAACUUUGAAAAGAGAGUUAAACAGUACGUGAAAUUGUCAAAAGGGAAGCGUUUGACACCAGUGUUGUUUUUCUGAAAAUCAAUUAAAGAACUGUUUAUGCUAAGUUGUUUAGACUUUAUCAGCUAACUGUUUAGUUUUGAGCUUUUCUUUAAUGCACUUUUCAGUUAACAAGUCAACAUCAAUUUCUUUCGCUGUAAAAAAGCUUGAGGAAGGUGGCUUGAGAUUCGUCUUAAGUGUUUAUAGCCUCUUGCCUAUGCAGUCGGAGAGAUUGAGGUCCGCAGCGUAGAUCCUUCGGGGCUAAAUGCAUUUGUGCUAAGUUAUAGCAUUUUAUAGACAACUUGUUGACUAUGAUUUGUCUUGUAGCUUACUCGCUUAUGUUAUUUUACCUACGCUUAGGAUGUUGAGCGCAUGUCUCUCUCU